This 253-nucleotide ribosomal RNA is filed under the name uncultured bacterium. RNAcentral's name for it is "partial 16S ribosomal RNA". It matches the Rfam family "Bacterial small subunit ribosomal RNA", at positions 524 to 776 of the family's 1533-position model. The record is from RNAcentral.
UACGUAGGGGGCAAGCAUUGUCCGGAAUCAUUGGGCGUAAAGCGCGUGUAGGCGGUCCGGUAAGUCCGCUGUGAAAGUCGGGGGCUCAACCCUCGGAUGCCGGUGGAUACUGUCGGGCUUGAGUACGGAAGAGGCGAGUGGAAUUCCUGGUGUAGCGGUGAAAUGCGCAGAUAUCAGGAGGAACACCAAUUGCGAAGGCAGCUCGCUGGGACGUUACUGACGCUGAGACGCGAAAGCGUGGGGAGCAAACAGG